CCCUUAGAUGUUCUGGGCGGCCCACGCACUACAUUGGCACUCUCAAUAAGUUCCUAGAUCUAAAACUUUGGGGUAUUCUAUUAAGUGGUGUCGUGACUGGGAUUAACCCUUGCAAUUAUUGGUUACGAACGAGGAAUUCCUUGUAAUCGCGGUUUAUCAGCCCGCGUUGAAUGCGUCCCUGCCCUUUGUACACACCGCCCGUCGCUCCUACCGAUGAAUCGUCCGGUGAAGUUCAUGGAGUGGUGGUUGUUCCAGCUGCUGUCGAAGUGAAAUGGACCUCACGAUUUAGAGGAAGGAGAAGUCGUAACA
This 309-nucleotide ribosomal RNA is filed under the name uncultured eukaryote. Its description in RNAcentral is "partial 18S ribosomal RNA". It matches the Rfam family "Eukaryotic small subunit ribosomal RNA", at positions 1470 to 1796 of the family's 1831-position model. The record is from RNAcentral.